GGAUGUGAGAGGGAUCUGGCUGCGACAUCUGUCACCCUGUUGAUGACCAGGGUUGAUUCGGCUCAUCUGGCUGGCUAGGCGGGUGCCCCCUUCCUCCUGCACCAUCCCUCCCGAAGCUGCACGCUCGGUGGAAGAGGACGACCUUCCCCCAGUAGAGGAGGACCGGUCUUUGGUCAAGGGUAUACUCUCCUGCUAGAACCACCAGAAAAGCUCUCAAAAGUAUAAUAUGUUAAAUAAAUAAAUAAUUUUUAAUGUAAAAAAAUAAAGUAUCAUAGAUAAACACUCAAACACUAUGUUCUAUAUGUAAACAUUUAUAUUU
This 319-nucleotide small nuclear RNA is filed under the name Jaculus jaculus (lesser Egyptian jerboa). RNAcentral describes it as "7SK RNA (ENSJJAG00000009409.1)". It matches the Rfam family "7SK RNA". From Rfam's summary of the family: 7SK was discovered as an abundant small nuclear RNA in the mid-70s but a possible function has only recently been suggested. Lineage: Eukaryota; Metazoa; Chordata; Mammalia; Rodentia; Dipodidae. The record is from Rfam by way of RNAcentral.